Molecule: ribosomal RNA, 482 nt
Filed under: uncultured bacterium
Lineage: Bacteria
Description: bacterial SSU rRNA
Rfam family: Bacterial small subunit ribosomal RNA
Source: RNAcentral
AGAGUUUGAUCAUGGCUCAGAACGAACGCUGGCGGCAGGCCUAACACAUGCAAGUCGAACGAGAAGCCACCUUCGGGUGGUGGACAGUGGCAGACGGGUGAGUAACGCGUGGGAACGUGCCUUUCGGUUCGGAAUAACCCAGGGAAACUUGGGCUAAUACCGGAUACGCCCUUCGGGGGAAAGAUUCAUUGCCGAAAGAUCGGCCCGCGUCGGAUUAGCUAGUUGGUGGGGUAAUGGCUCACCAAGGCGACGAUCCGUAGCUGGUCUGAGAGGAUGACCAGCCACACUGGGACUGAGACACGGCCCAGACUCCUACGGGAGGCAGCAGUGGGGAAUAUUGGACAAUGGGCGAAAGCCUGAUCCAGCCAUGCCGCGUGGGUGAAGAAGGCCUUAGGGUUGUAAACCCCUUUCAGCGGGGAAGAUAAUGACGGUACCCGCAGAAGAAGUCCCGGCUAACUCCGUGCCAGCAGCCGCGGUAAUAC